RNA transcript from Nasonia vitripennis (jewel wasp), 5652 nucleotides. RefSeq lists it as uncharacterized. The transcript is spliced from 19 exons. The record is from RefSeq and is a predicted model, not a curated record. Lineage: Eukaryota; Metazoa; Arthropoda; Insecta; Hymenoptera; Pteromalidae.
UAGAGGUAGGUGAUCGGUGUGUCGGCGGCACUGCACGAGGAGUCCCGAGCCGAGCCGAUCGAGAAAGAGAGAGCUCUCCGGUGCCGCCGUGGAGACCGAGCCUCAGUCUUCGGCCGAUCCCCGUCACGUUUUCACCGGCGGCUCGCUUGUAACACACUCGCAAGAGCUCUCCUAUCGCUGCUCGUAUACACUGCAGUAGCAGCCCCUCUUUCGAGUGCGCGCGUUGUACCGAGGUGCGCCACAGCUGCUACCAAAAUGGCCGACUCCUGAGUGACCCUGCGCGCGCGCGAGUUUUUGGCACCGGUGAUCGUUGCCCGUUUAUGCGUCAGUGUUAUUGAGUUUGCCAGUGCUAAGCAAGAGUCGAUCUCCGCUACCGAAGUCGCCUCGCUGCCUGUGGAGUCCGAGAAGGUGUCGUAUGUGCCCCAUGAGGCGAGAAAAGACGCGAGCAGGCGGGCGGUGAGCUGCUGCUGCUGCUGAAGAAGAAGCUGCGAGUAAGAGGGAAGGAUGCAGCCGUGCCGGCGAGCGGCUUUGCCGCUUUUACUCCUCUGGCUCGUCGACGUUGCCGUGGGACACGUGGCGCUGACGUUCCCCAGAGCCAGGCAGUACGACCUAGACUUCCUGGAUAACGCCAGGACGCCCGGACCAUGUGGCAUGCCUAGAGGUGACAUCAAGACCUCGUUGCUGUCUGGAAGUAGCUUCAACGUGACGUGGCACUUGGCCUAUCCGCACAGGGGAGGAUUCAGACUGCAGAUAUUGGACGCCCUGGACAGGCCUCUAGUCGACCUUACCCCAGUAACGAAAAAGAGCGAAUUCGUGGAGAAUGACGCAACCGCGCAAAGCUACCUGGUGGAGCUGCCGACCAACUUCACCUGCACCGACUGCACAGUCAGGCUACUUCGCGAGGCCGAGGAGUGGGGAACCUCUUACAGGUUCUGGUCCUGCGCCGACGUUGACAUCGUGGACAAGCGCGCCUACAGGGAGGACUGCAGCGGACACGGCCGCUCCGUGCUAGGCCGAUGCCGUUGCGACAGGUUCUACCACGGUGCCAGGUGCCAGUACCACGAGGAGUGCCUCGACGACUCGGACUGCGGUACCCAAGGCGCCUGCAUCGACAACGGAGGCACGACACCGCCGACCAAGCACUGCUAUUGCAACAUCGGCUGGUUCGGCCCCGGAUGCUCGAAACGUUCGGUGAUGAAGAACGUCGACCUCGACCUCCAGUCCUACACGAUGAAGCGCUUCUCCGACGACUUCACCUUCUACUGGCGCAUCCUCAAGGAUUCCAAGGAAUUCGAAGGUGUGGCCGUGGUCAACGGUACCAGCUGGGUCGGCGUUGGCUGGCGUCCAAGCACCCUCACCUCGGCCUGCCGAGCUAUACCCGAGAUCCGCGAACAUGGCAAGAAGUCACCGGAGCCGCUGCCCAGGCCCGAACCCAAGUCGGAACCCGAACCCACCUCGGAGCCUGAACCUACCUCCGAACCCGAACCGGCGGCUGAACCAGAGCCGGAGGCGACGCAGGUCAAAGUCGGUGGCAACAACAAGCGCUCGGCCAAGCACGACGUCACGCCUCGGCCCGAGAGCGACGUCACCGUCCAGACGAGCGUGACGUACCACGUCAGCACCAAGAACGGUCGCAAGAAGAGAUCGCCGCAGCCCGAUCCCCAGCCAACCGGGGAGCCAGCCAGCGAGCCCGAACCCAAGUCAGAGCCAGAGCCUAAAUCCGAACCAGAGCCCACAUCCGAACCGAAAUCCGAGCCCGAGCCUAAAUCUGAACCCGAACCUAAAUCUGAACCCGAACCCAAAUCCGAGCCUGAGCCGAAGUCUGAGCCAGAGCCAAAGUCUGAGCCAGAGCCCAAGUCCGAACCUGAACCUAAAUCCGAACCUGAACCUAAAUCCGAGCCCGAACCUAAAUCAGAGCCUGAACCAAAAUCCGAACCUGAACCUAAAUCAGAGCCUGAACCAAAGUCAGAGCCCGAGCCUAAAUCCGAGCCUGAACCAAAAUCCGAGCCCGAGCCUAAAUCCGAGCCUGAACCAAAUUCUGAGCCCGAACCUAAAUCCGAGCCUGAACCAAAGUCCGAGCCCGAGCCUAAAUCCGAGCCAGAGCCGAAUUCCGAGCCAGAACCUAAAUCCGAGCCGGAACCCAAAUCUGAACCCGAACCUAAAUCUGAACCAGAGCCCCAUUCGGACGGUGCGAAAUCAGGACCACCCAAAGCCGCUCAAACGAACGCCGGACUUCACAAGUACACACCCAAGCACGACUUCAACCCGAUGGACUGCACCGACAUCGUUAUCGGAUCGGCCCGAGGAAUGAGGCAUCGCAUCGGUGACUACUACACCCGCGACAGGUCGACACCUCGAGUCGACUCGUUCUGGGGUGGCAAGGACAGUCUCACGGCUGCCAUGGGUUUCGAGAGGGACGGCCUCACGACCAUUCUCUUCAGGAGGAAACUCGCCGCCGACGAGCACUUCAGCGACCACGAAAUCAUCGACGGAGCCAUGCAGGUCAUCUGGGCUAAAGGCCAGGAACCGGGCAAAUACGUCCAUGUGCCGGCCAGCGGUGUCGAACACAGCAAAGUCAGUGUCAAGGACUUCUACAAGGCCGACGAGCUCAAAUACCACGGGCACAAGUCCCAAAGGGGCGUAGCGAGCAUUAACUUUUUCGAGGAGAAAGGAAGAGAAGAUUUCGGUGGCGGAGUGUCACUCGAAGGCGGCGGUUGCGGUGGUGAAUGGCAUUAUCCUAGGCACUGCUCGCCGGAAAAUUACACCUGCGAGUACAGCAUAAAGUGGCUCUACAAAGCGAGAAAGGAGGAAAUUUCCUUCACCGUAGUCACGAAGAACAUCGACACCUGGACGGGAAUAGGCUUCUCGAAAGACGAGAAAAUGACGCAAACGGACGCGAUCCUCGGUUGGGUCGACAAGACCAGCGGAAGAGCCUUCCUGAUGGACACCUGGAUUAACGGCUACAACUCGCCGGUGCUCGACGCUUCCCAGGACAUCUUCAACUUCAGCGGCCGCAUCGAGAACGGCGAGACCACUCUGAAGUUCAGCAGAAAGAGGGCGACCAAGGACAGCCGGGACUUGUCUUUCACCGACGAGCAGUGCCUCUACCUGAUGUUCCCCGUCAAGGGUGGCACCUUCAACCCUGUAAAUAAGAAGAUCCGCAAGCACGAAACUGUGCCCAUCGUCUCGGCUCAGAAAGUCUGCAUCAAGUCCUGCGGAAUAGAAGAGGACGACGAGGGAGCGACGACUCCACCACCGCCGCGAUUCUUCUACGACGUCGAGGUCCGACUGGUAGGUCUGGGCGACGGUUACAGAGCUCCUCUGCCCGGCUCCCCGGACUUCGAGGACCUGUCCAACACGAUAUCGGGAAGCUUCUCCCCGACCCUGAAGAACGUCCCGGGCUUCCAUCAGCUUAAGCUCAGCGAGCUUCGCAAGAACGGCAACGACGGCAUAGUCGCUCGAAUGAACCUGGCGAUGGACAAGAACGAGAUCAAGGGUCGAGCUCUCGCUCCGGCCGACACCGCGGCCAUGGCUGAAGCUGCCCUUAGCGAAGCCCUCAGUAGCGGCAAAGUCGGCGCGCUCACCGUCGAUCCUCAUUACCUCGUGCUUCGCUCCCAGCAACCGUACGAUCUGGAGGAGAACGACCUUGACAAGCAGGGCAGCGAGAACUCUUUGAUGGCCGGGCUGUUACUGGGGCCGACGAAGCUCUACAUCGUCAUCGCGUGCUUGGCCGCGUUGCUGGCGCUAGCCUUGCUCCAGGCCAGCUGUACCAUCUACAAAGCCUCGAAGAAGCGCACGACAAAGAGGGUGUACUCGCUGCCUCUGGUCACUUCGCCGUCAGCAGGUCAACCUGGCCAUCAGCAUCACGGCAAUCCGAUUCAUCGCAACCAGAACAACGGCAACAGCCACAACGGUAACGGCCACACUCUGAUGAACGGCUCGCGCGCUUAUCACCGGCAAAACGAGCAGCAUCACAACGGCAACGGCAGCCAUCAUCAAGACAUGCAGCGCCAGUAUCACCAUCAUCACCAGCAGCAGUUGCACUUACCGCCGAACAUGCACCGGCCCUCCCAAAAUUGGUAGAGAGCCGGAUAGAGAAGCACACAGAGGCGCGAGCGCAUGAAUCUUAUCCGCUUUCUCGUCCAGGAGAAAUUUCCGUUGCAGGACCGGCUGAUCGGUAAGAACGCCUGGCGCGACUACUCCUCGAGCGCCAACACGAACUUCGCCUUCGAGGCUUUCGAGACGGAGGAGAAGUCACCGCCCCCGCCGGUCUCCAGUCUCUCGCGGCCUCGCGAGAUGAUGAUGAGCAACGGACACUCAACCACCGACAACGGACACCACCAGCAACACCACGACAUGCAGCAGCAGCAGCAGCAGCAGCAGCGCAACAGCGUCAGCCAGAUGGUACCCGGUCCCAGGGCCACUUACAGUCUGCCACGCGCACCGGGACCGAGACAGUCCUCGGCCAUGUCUCCGGCUGGCGGACAAGGCUACUACACUCAGGAUCGACGGAACAUGCCUCGCUACAACAACGGCAAGGCUCCGAACAACGGACAUCACACCGGUAGCCUACAGCCGCAACCGGACUUCUACUUCAUGCCCAGUCAGCGCAAGUACAGCGGCGAGGUCGUGCGCGUCUACGUCGACUACGGCAAUCAGAAACCCAAAUGAGAGAACUCUCGUCUGUGCGACGGUGCAGCGUGUUUCUCUCACUCUCUCGAGAAAGAGAUCCUUGAAUUAUGAAAGAUAAUCCUGCGCGCGAUCGUCUCGCGCACCUCCGCGCGCCGCAGAGAAGAUUCAUAUAGAUUUUGUCGUAUUAUUUUGUAUGAUUAACAAGCUCGAGGUGAGAGCGCGAGCUCUAUUCGACUCAAAUUGUGCAGUAAUAUUUUGUAUAUAUAACACUUAUUAUUGUUGAAAGUAUAUCGUUGAUUCGAUUAUCUGUAUGAGAUUUUCUUCGUAUCGAGACAAACCAUAUCUUUCACGAUUCAUUGUAUAAAAAGAAAAGAACGAUACCGAUGUCGAAGUUACGAUCAAGUUCUACGCCAGCGUAGGGCUUGGUAGUUAUAAUUUACGUUAACGACACUUGUGGAAUAACGAAAUCGCAAACUUUUCACAUUAUGGAAAGUUAAUCGUCGGUUUAAGCUCUAAAAGACCUGUAAAUAAGUAAUGCUCAACUGAUGCCAGUCACUUGCGUGCGGAUUGUUUCUCUUAUCUAUAUAUAAUAUAAUAUAUAACGUAUGUUACACAACACGAACUAACUCCAUUGCGAAGGAAACCAAUUUCUAUUUCUUUAAUUUAAUAAAAUGUAAUAUCUCUAUUAUACGUUAACGAAAGCUCUGCAGCACGUGACGAGCACAGAAGCGGACGGAGCACGCCUGUACAUUUGCUCGAAUUUAGUAACUGUAAUGUAGCGUGGUAAAGCUAGCGUAAGUCAAGCGUUAUUUAUACGUAAGCUAUUCUCCCCGUCCUUGAUAUAUUGUAUAACGUCAGGAAUGAAGAAAAUUUCAAGAAAUUUGAAUGAUCAAUCCUACUUAUCGUUACAAUUUAUACAUCGAUUGAUGGUUCAAAUUGACUUCCCUCUUCCAGUAAUAGACGUAAGAAACGGACAUGUAUGUGGAUGAGAAAUAAAAUGUUUGUACAUUUUUUAACCCA